This is a long non-coding RNA of Nematolebias whitei (Rio pearlfish), 383 nucleotides long. RefSeq lists it as uncharacterized. NCBI's taxonomy places the organism in Eukaryota, Metazoa, Chordata, Actinopteri, Cyprinodontiformes, Rivulidae. The transcript has 3 exons. The record is from RefSeq and is a predicted model, not a curated record.
AGGAUCACCAGAGGACAAGUACUUAUUGUCUGGACUGACCACUGUGUUGAUUCAAGAUGCAUCAAGACAUUUGAGGUGGAGUUUUCCACUGACCAAAGGAGGUUCAGGAGAAUUAACUCAGAUGACGUCAUUUUUACGUCUUAUGUUUAUUCCCCAGUGGACCAGGAGGUUGGGGGUCUGUACAGAGUCCGAGCUGUGGACUACUGGGGGAGACCCGGGCCAUUCUCGCUGCCGGAGAGGUUUCCAGAAGAACGGUAGUCGACUCACUGCACUUGUACCUUUGGAGAGUGUUGAAGUUAUUUCAUACACAUCAGUCAGCCGACUGAGCUCUACACUGGAAGGCUCACUUGUGAUUGGUUGAGCCUCGACCAAUCACAGACGGA